UACGUAGGGGGCGAGCGUUGUCCGGAGUUACUGGGCGUAAAGCGCGCGCAGGCGGCCACGUGCGUCGGUCGUGAAAUUCCCCGGCUCAACCGGGGCGGGUCGACCGAAACGGGGUGGCUGGAGGGCGACAGAGGGGGGUGGAAUGCCGUGUGGAGCAGUGAAAUGCGUAGAGACGCGGCGGAACACCGGCGGCGAAGGCGGCCCCCUGGGGCGCCCCUGACGCUGAGGCGCGAAGGCCGGGGGAGCGAACGGG
This 253-nucleotide ribosomal RNA is filed under the name uncultured bacterium. RNAcentral's name for it is "partial 16S ribosomal RNA". It matches the Rfam family "Bacterial small subunit ribosomal RNA", at positions 524 to 776 of the family's 1533-position model. The record is from RNAcentral.